GACAGAGGGUGCAAACGUUGCUCGGAAUUACUGGGCGUAAAGGGCGUGUAGGCGGGAAGGCAAGUCGGGCGUGAAAUCCCCAGGCUCAACUUGGGAACUGCACUCGAAACUGCCUUUCUUGAGUGCCGGAGAGGAAAGCGGAAUUCCUGGUGUAGAGGUGAAAUUCGUAGAUAUCAGGAGGAACACCAGUGGCGAAGGCGGCUUUCUGGACGGUAACUGACGCUGAGACGCGAAAGCGUGGGAGCAAACAGG
Molecule: ribosomal RNA, 252 nt
Filed under: uncultured bacterium
Lineage: Bacteria
Description: partial 16S ribosomal RNA
Rfam family: Bacterial small subunit ribosomal RNA
Source: RNAcentral